This 296-nucleotide long non-coding RNA is filed under the name Manihot esculenta (cassava). RNAcentral describes it as "long non-coding RNA (MESC_LNC003609)". Lineage: Eukaryota; Viridiplantae; Streptophyta; Magnoliopsida; Malpighiales; Euphorbiaceae. The record is from RNAcentral.
UUAGAGAAAUUUUCAGAGUGGCGAUGGUGGCGUUAGGGUCAUUUCCCUUUCAGUUCGCCUAUUCUUUAAUUUCCUGGAUUGCGAUAAGACAAGAGAAGUAGAAAAGAAAAGUAAAGUAAGGAAGUGUUUGGCCGGUCAAUGGUGUGAAGUGCAGAGGGAGAGGGAGAGGGAGAGGGAGAGGAACAGAGGGAGAAGGGAGAGCUGAAGACAGAGGGAAUGAGAAACUAAAUAACAAAGUCUUACGUAAAAAUGAAGGCUAUGGCAUAAAGACGAUAAUGCUAAUUGCUAAGGAAGAC